GACCUUGCGCUAUUGGAUGAGCCUAAGUCGGAUUAGCUAGUUGGUGGGGUAAUGGCCCACCAAGGCGACGAUCCGUAGCUGGUCUGAGAGGAUGAUCAGCCACAUCGGGACUGAGACACGGCCCGAACUCCUACGGGAGGCAGCAGUGGGGAAUAUUGGACAAUGGGGGCAACCCUGAUCCAGCCAUGCCGCGUGUGUGAAGAAGGCUUUCGGGUUGUAAAGCACUUUCAGUGAGGAGGAAGGCCAAGUCGCUAAUAUCGGCUUGGAUUGACGUUACUCACAGAAGAAGCACCGGCUAACUCCGUGCCAGCAGCCGCGGUAAUACGGAGGGUGCAAGCGUUAAUCGGAAUUACUGGGCGUAAAGCGCGCGUAGGUGGUUUGUUAAGCGAGAUGUGAAAGCCCCGGGCUUAACCUGGGAACGGCAUUUCGAACUGGCAGGCUAGAGUGUGGUAGAGGGUAGUGGAA
RNAcentral lists this ribosomal RNA (465 nucleotides) under Marinobacter mobilis. Its description in RNAcentral is "bacterial SSU rRNA". It matches the Rfam family "Bacterial small subunit ribosomal RNA", at positions 209 to 666 of the family's 1533-position model. The record is from RNAcentral. Lineage: Bacteria; Pseudomonadati; Pseudomonadota; Gammaproteobacteria; Pseudomonadales; Marinobacteraceae.